RNAcentral lists this ribosomal RNA (1372 nucleotides) under uncultured bacterium. Its description in RNAcentral is "bacterial SSU rRNA". It matches the Rfam family "Bacterial small subunit ribosomal RNA", at positions 28 to 1381 of the family's 1533-position model. The record is from RNAcentral.
GAUGAACGCUGGCGGCGUGCCUAACACAUGCAAGUCGAGCGAACAGACGAGGAGCUUGCUCCUUUGACGUUAGCGGCGGACGGGUGAGUAACACGUGGGUAACCUACCUAUAAGACUGGGAUAACUUCGGGAAACCGGAGCUAAUACCGGAUAAUAUUUCGAACCGCAUGGUUCGAUAGUGAAAGAUGGCUUUGCUAUCACUUAUAGAUGGACCUGCGCCGUAUUAGCUAGUUGGUAAGGUAACGGCUUACCAAGGCAACGAUACGUAGCCGACCUGAGAGGGUGAUCGGCCACACUGGAACUGAGACGCGGUCCAGACUCCUACGGGAGGCAGCAGUAGGGAAUCUUCCGCAAUGGGCGAAAGCCUGACGGAGCAACGCCGCGUGAGUGAUGAAGGUCUUCGGAUCGUAAAACUCUGUUAUUAGGGAAGAACAAACGUGUAAGUAACUGUGCACGUCUUGACGGUACCUAAUCAGAAAGCCACGGCUAACUACGUGCCGGCAGCCGCGGUAAUACGUAGGUGGCAAGCGUUAUCCGGAAUUAUUGGGCGUAAAGCGCGCGUAGGCGGUUUUUUAAGUCUGAUGUGAAAGCCCACGGCUCAACCGUGGAGGGUCAUUGGAAACUGGAAAACUUGAGUGCAGAAGAGGAAAGUGGAAUUCCAUGUGUAGCGGUGAAAUGCGCAGAGAUAUGGAGGAACACCAGUGGCGAAGGCGACUUUCAGGUCUGUAACUGACGCUGAUGUGCGAAAGCGUGGGGAUCAAACAGGAUUAGAUACCCUGGUAGUCCACGCCGUAAACGAUGAGUGCUAAGUGUUAGGGGGUUUCCGCCCCUUAGUGCUGCAGCUAACGCAUUAAGCACUCCGCCUGGGGAGUACGACCGCAAGGUUGAAACUCAAAGGAAUUGACGGGGACCCGCACAAGCGGUGGAGCAUGUGGUUUAAUUCGGAGCAACGCGAAGAACCUUACCAAAUCUUGACAUCCUUUGACCCUUCUAGAGAUAGAAGUUUCCCCUUCGGGGGACAAAGUGACAGGUGGUGCAUGGUUGUCGUCAGCUCGUGUCGUGAGAUGUUGGGUUAAGUCCCGCAACGAGCGCAACCCUUAAGCUUAGUUGCCAUCAUUAAGUUGGGCACUCUAAGUUGACUGCCGGUGACAAACCGGAGGAAGGUGGGGAUGACGUCAAAUCAUCAUGCCCCUUAUGAUUUGGGCUACACACGUGCUACAAUGGACAAUACAAAGGGCAGCGAAACCGCGAGGUCAAGCAAAUCCCAUAAAGUUGUUCUCAGUUCGGAUUGUAGUCUGCAACUCGACUACAUGAAGCUGGAAUCGCUAGUAAUCGUAGAUCAGCAUGCUACGGUGAAUACGUUCCCGGGUCU